Molecule: ribosomal RNA, 253 nt
Filed under: uncultured Prevotella sp.
Lineage: Bacteria; Pseudomonadati; Bacteroidota; Bacteroidia; Bacteroidales; Prevotellaceae
Description: partial 16S ribosomal RNA
Rfam family: Bacterial small subunit ribosomal RNA
Source: RNAcentral
UACGGAGGAUGCGAGCGUUAUCCGGAUUUAUUGGGUUUAAAGGGUGCGUAGGCGGAAUAUCAAGUCAGCGGUAAAAAUUCGGGGCUCAACCGUGGAAUUGCAGUUGAAACUGGAGGCCUUGAGUGCACACAGGGAUGCCGGAAUUCAUGGUGUAGCGGUGAAAUGCUUAGAUAUCAUGAAGAACUCCGAUCGCGAAGGCAAGUGUCCGGGGUGCAACUGACGCUGAGGCUCGAAAGUGCGGGUAUCAAACAGG